AUACGGAGGAUCCGAGCGUUAUCCGGAUUUAUUGGGUUUAAAGGGUGCGCAGGCGGCCAUUUAAGUUAGCGGUUAAAUCGUGGGGCUCAACCCCAUUCUGCCGUUGAUACUGGGUGGCUUGAUUGCGGUCGAGGUUGGCGGAAUUCGUUGUGUAGCGGUGGAAUGCAUAGAUAUGACGAAGAACACCGAUUGCGUAGGCAGCUGACCAGACCGCAAAUGACGCUCAUGCACGAAAGUGCGGGGAUCGAACAGGAUUAGAUACCCUGGUAGUCCGCACAGUAAACGAUGAAUACUUGUUUUCGGCGAUAUAAUGUCGGAGGCAAAGCGAAAGCGAUAAGUAUUCCACCUGGGGAGUACGCCGGCAACGGUGAAACUCAAAGGAAUUGGCGGGG
Molecule: ribosomal RNA, 392 nt
Filed under: uncultured bacterium
Lineage: Bacteria
Description: partial 16S ribosomal RNA
Rfam family: Bacterial small subunit ribosomal RNA
Source: RNAcentral